CCUACGGGAGGCAGCAGUGGGGAAUUUUGGACAAUGGGCGCAAGCCUGAUCCAGCAAUGCCGCGUGAGUGAAGAAGGCCUUCGGGUUGUAAAGCUCUUUUGUCAGGGAAGAAACGGUGGGAGCUAAUAUCUCCUACUAAUGACGGUACCUGAAGAAUAAGCACCGGCUAACUACGUGCCAGCAGCCGCGGUAAUACGUAGGGUGCAAGCGUUAAUCGGAAUUACUGGGCGUAAAGCGUGCGCAGGCGGUUUUGUAAGUCUGUCGUGAAAGCCCCGGGCUCAACCUGGGAAUUGCGAUGGAGACUGCAAGGCUUGAAUCUGGCAGAGGGGGGUAGAAUUCCACGUGUAGCAGUGAAAUGCGUAGAGAUGUGGAGGAACACCGAUGGCGAAGGCAGCCCCCUGGGUCAAGAUUGACGCUCAUGCACGAAAGCGUGGGGAGCAAACAGGAUUAGAUACCCUGGUAGUCCACGCCCUAAAACGAUGUCUACUAGUUGUCGGGUUUUAAUUAACUUGGUAAACGCAGCUAACGCGUGAAGUAGACCGCCUGGGGAGUACGGUCGCAAGAUUAAAACUCAAAGGAAAUUGACGG
This 588-nucleotide ribosomal RNA is filed under the name uncultured bacterium. RNAcentral describes it as "bacterial SSU rRNA". It matches the Rfam family "Bacterial small subunit ribosomal RNA", at positions 338 to 916 of the family's 1533-position model. The record is from RNAcentral.